CAGGGAAAAUUCUGCUGUCACAUGGGGGCGGAGUUCUCUCCGCGGAUCAGUGGCGAACGGGUGAGUAACACGUGAGUAACCUGCCCUUGACUCUGGGAUAAGCGUUGGAAACGACGUCUAAUACCGGAUAGGACUUCCACAGGCAUCUGUGGGGGUGGAAAGAUUUUUCGGUCAUGGAUGGACUCGCGGCCUAUCAGCUUGUUGGUGGGGUGAUGGCCUACCAAGGCGACGACGGGUAGCCGGCCUGAGAGGGUGACCGGCCACACUGGGACUGAGACACGGCCCAGACUCCUACGGGAGGCAGCAGUGGGGAAUAUUGCACAAUGGGCGAAAGCCUGAUGCAGCAACGCCGCGUGAGGGAUGACGGCCUUCGGGUUGUAAACCUCUUUUAGCAGGGAAGAAGCGAAAGUGACGGUACCUGCAGAAAAAGCACCGGCUAACUACGUGCCAGCAGCCGCGGUAAU
This 464-nucleotide ribosomal RNA is filed under the name uncultured bacterium. Its description in RNAcentral is "bacterial SSU rRNA". It matches the Rfam family "Bacterial small subunit ribosomal RNA", at positions 43 to 524 of the family's 1533-position model. The record is from RNAcentral.